This is a long non-coding RNA of Bombus pascuorum, 2546 nucleotides long. RefSeq lists it as uncharacterized. The record is from RefSeq and is a predicted model, not a curated record. Lineage: Eukaryota; Metazoa; Arthropoda; Insecta; Hymenoptera; Apidae. The transcript is spliced from 2 exons.
CCGUACACAAUGUGUUAAUACAUCGAUACGACCGAGAUAAGCGGCUGCAUGGUAUUGGUAUACGUGUACUAAACACAUUAUCAUUUCUCUCUCUCUCUCUCUUUGUUUUUAUUAUUAAAAUACCAUCAUAUGUCCCCUAAAAAUUCCUCGUUAUUUUUACUUUUAAAGAAAAUCCCAAAGAAAUUCGUUUCUUCGUCAAAUAUACUUCACAAAGAUUAACAUUGCGUUCAACGAGACAAAAUUGAUUCGCACGCUUCCUCUGUGUUCGCUCGCAAAGAAGCUGUCUUCUGCUACGCGUAUCGGAUUAUCCAAUGGAAUUGCACGCCGGUACAACCCUUAUUUUCUGCAAAGGUGCGGAACCCUUCAUUCCUCUAUCUCGGCUAAUUUAAUAGCGUAUCGGGAAGGAGUAACGACUGGCGGAAAAAGCGUGCAGCUAUUUGCACGUCGGUGUCGCGGCUUUUUACCGCACCGAUCGGUCGAGUGGUACGCGAGGGUUACGCGGCCGUGCGAGAAGCGGCGCGUUAGCUCGCACACAGGGCUACAGUUUAUAUGGGCUUUUCGAGAUGGUGAUCCGAGAUGUGCGGCGUGCGUGCGUCACGCGGAUCAGUACCGGAUAUCCGUGAGGCGACUGCAGUCGAGGCGGGAUAUGCGGGCGCAGUUGUACCGAGCCGAAUGGAGAGGAGCAUAUAGCGACUUACAAAAGUGUUACAACAUCCUUCGAAACUUUCGACUAACUUUUCUAACACAUCGAGGAUGAAUUCGCGUCUUACAAAAUAUAAUUAACCACUUCCAUAAUUUUUAGACUUCCUUGUCUUUUUAAGUAAAUGAAUAUUAGUCCUCGAUACUUGGAAAAAUGCGCGUUAGACAGCGUGUAGGUUGGCUUGUUGUAGGUUAGAAACGUAUAGCCUGCUGUGGUGCGCGCGGUUGGCUGUGUUAACCCUUUGCACUCGGAAUUUUAUUUCAAUUUCGCUACCAGCAGCUCCCAACGCUUUUAAGUGUUUUAUUUGAAAUUUACUUUAACUAAAAAAUAAGACGAUUUAAAUAAAUAAAGGAAGAAAGAAAUUCGCUUAAAUACCAGUUUUAUUCACACUAUUGUUGUGUUUUUUAAUUUUUAAGUGUAUGAUAUAUCUUGAAACAAUUUCCAGGAUGCAAUCCUGGUUUUCUUUCGCAAGUUUCACAAAAAACAUGAAAGAAUGUCGAGUGCGUCUCGACAAAGGAGCUCUUGAGAUAAAAACUGAUGUCGAGUCACACUCUACAUAGGAGUGCAAAGGGUUAAAAGUGAAAGAGGAAAGAAGAACAAGAAGAAAAGUAGGAGAAAAUGGAAAUUAAAGGAGCGAAGAUUAAUGCGUGAUGCGUGGUAGAGAUUAGAGCGGUGGUUACAGCGGAGGUGAGGAGGUUAAGGGGGUCGCGAGAGAAUUGCGAAGCAGUUCAGGUUGUAUUGCCCUGUUUCGCCACCUAUCCGCGAAAUCUAGUUUCAAAAAUCUGUCACGUGAGUCGGUAAUGGAGUGCGUAGCUAACUACAAUCGACGACGUGUAUAUUCAUCAAACGCAUUCAACGCGUUCAGUUCAAAUUUAUUUCGAAAUAUCGGCAACAGGAGAACUAGUUCUCUGUUCGUAGCUUCGAUAAUGCAAGAAAAGUGCCAACGCUUGGACCACCAUUUUGCCAAUCCAAUACUUGUCGAAAUACUUGCGGACGAUGGUGUAUGUUAGAUCUUUUGAAAAGACGCAACGACGACAUUCCACAGAUGGAAAAGAAGGAGAGUUUACGACUCGGUCGUGCGAUUUGACGAUAUUCCGAGAGAAGUGUGUGACGGGCAUAAAUUUCGUCGGCGAGAGAUCGAUAAACGUUGCUUUAUGGUUUCCUUGAUUUCGCUCGUUUACUCUGUGCUCACGGUGGAACACGAGGAAAGUAAUCGAGAAGGUUUUAUCGCCGACACGGAGGGGGUCCCUUCGUUUCAACGUUCAUCGUUUAAUUGUUCGCGUUUUAUUCGCAGAGAUUCGUAAGAUGGAGAUCCUCCGGCUGCUUUAAAUCAAUAUACACCGGUGCGUACAGACAAACGAGGAAAGUGUUCGUACUAGAGAAGCGAAUUGUUCGACCACCUGCCGCUUUGCUGUUCCAAUGUUUGAACAUUUUACUAUUACAGAGUUUUCGGCUUAUCGAAAUUUCACAGUAGAAGAGACAGGCCAAACAAAAAUUCGACGUACGUAAGCUUCGUACGAAUACGAAUAUGAUCGCAUUUGUGUAUGAUCAGAUUGUGUUUGUAUUUGCAGCUUCCUCUUGCAGCUCAUUUUAUUCGACCCACUGGCAAUACCGAUAGGAUGAAUACAAUUCAUGUACAGUCGAACCACGAGAAUUAAAAUCUUCAAAUUAAAAAGGUUUUGACUUAUCAAAAUUUCCAGUAAAAGAAUCAUAGCAAAGGAAAAUUUGACAUACAGAAGUUUUGAACGAUGGGAAAAAUUCAAGAAAGUUUGUAGAAAACACUGUAAGUGGCAAGCUUGACAAAUUUUGAUUUUUCAUUGGGAAAUGUUUUAUAUACCAGUGAGAA